Molecule: ribosomal RNA, 254 nt
Filed under: uncultured bacterium
Lineage: Bacteria
Description: partial 16S ribosomal RNA
Rfam family: Bacterial small subunit ribosomal RNA
Source: RNAcentral
UACGGGGGGAGCAAGCGUUGUUCGGAUUUACUGGGCGUAAAGGGCGCGUAGGCGGUCAGCACAAGUCAGUUGUGAAAUCUCCGGGCUUAACUCGGAAAGGUCAACUGAUACUGUGCGACUAGAGUGCAGAAGGGGCAACUGGAAUUCUCGGUGUAGCGGUGAAAUGCGUAGAUAUCGAGAGGAACACCUGCGGCGCAGGCGGGUUGCUGGGCUGACACUGACGCUGAUGCGCGAAAGCCAGGGGAGCGAACGGG